Molecule: ribosomal RNA, 355 nt
Filed under: uncultured bacterium
Lineage: Bacteria
Description: bacterial SSU rRNA
Rfam family: Bacterial small subunit ribosomal RNA
Source: RNAcentral
AGAGUUUGAUCCUGGCUCAGGAUGAACGCUAGCUACAGGCUUAACACAUGCAAGUCGAGGGGAAACGACAUCGAAAGCUUGCUUUUGAUGGGCGUCGACCGGCGCACGGGUGAGUAACGCGUAUCCAACCUGCCCAUCACUUGGGGAUAACCUUGCGAAAGUAAGACUAAUACCCAAUGAUAUCUCUAGAAGGCAUCUGAAAAGAGAUUAAAGAUUUAUCGGUGAUGGAUGGGGAUGCGUCUGAUUAGCUUGUUGGCGGGGUAACGGCCACCAAAAGCAACGAUCAGUAGGGGUUCUGAGAGGAAGGUCCCCACAUUGGAACUGAGACACGGUACCAAACUCCUACGGGAGGCGA